UACGGGGGGAGCAAGCGUUGUUCGGAUUUACUGGGCGUAAAGGGCGCGUAGGCGGCCACCGCAAGUCAAUUGUGAAAUCUCCGGGCUUAACUCGGAAAGGUCAACUGAUACUGCGGGGCUAGAGUGCGGAAGGGGCAACUGGAAUUCUCGGUGUAGCGGUGAAAUGCGCAGAUAUCGGGAAGAACACCCGUGGCGAAGGCGGCUCUCUGGGACGGUACUGACGCUGAGACGCGAAAGCGUGGGGAGCGAACAGG
This 254-nucleotide ribosomal RNA is filed under the name uncultured bacterium. Its description in RNAcentral is "partial 16S ribosomal RNA". It matches the Rfam family "Bacterial small subunit ribosomal RNA", at positions 524 to 776 of the family's 1533-position model. The record is from RNAcentral.